UGGGGAAUAUUGGGGCAAUGGGGGGAAACCCUGACCCAGCAACGCCGCGUGAAGGAAGAAGGCUUUCGGGUUGUAAACUUCUUUUACCAGGGACGAAGGACGUGACGGUACCUGGAGAAAAAGCCACGGCUAACUACGUGCCAGCAGCCGCGGUAAUACGUAGGUGGCAAGCGUUGUCCGGAUUUACUGGGUGUAAAGGGCGUGUAGGCGGGAGAGCAAGUCAGAAGUGAAAUCCAUGGGCUUAACCCAUGAACUGCUUUUGAAACUGUUCUUCUUGAGUAUCGGAGAGGCAGGCGGAAUUCCUAGUGUAGCGGUGAAAUGCGUAGAUAUCACUCAGAACACCGAUUGCGAAGGCAUCUCACAAAUCCGCAAUUGACGCUGAGGCACGAAAGCGUGGGGAUCGAACAGGAUUAGAUACCCUGGUAGU
Molecule: ribosomal RNA, 427 nt
Filed under: uncultured Oscillospiraceae bacterium
Lineage: Bacteria; Bacillati; Bacillota; Clostridia; Eubacteriales; Oscillospiraceae
Description: bacterial SSU rRNA
Rfam family: Bacterial small subunit ribosomal RNA
Source: RNAcentral